This 428-nucleotide ribosomal RNA is filed under the name uncultured prokaryote. RNAcentral describes it as "bacterial SSU rRNA". It matches the Rfam family "Bacterial small subunit ribosomal RNA", at positions 355 to 774 of the family's 1533-position model. The record is from RNAcentral.
UGGGGAAUAUUGCGCAAUGGGCGAAAGCCUGAUGCAGCGACGCCGCGUGAGGGAAGAAGGCCUUCGGGUCGUAAACCACUGUCUAGAGGGAAGAAACCAUUGAGGUCGAACAGGCCACUUUGCUGACGGUACCACUGAAGGAAGAACCGGCUAACUCCGUGCAAGCAGCCGCGGUAAUACGGAGGGUGCGAGCGUUAAUCGGAAUCACUGGGCGUAAAGCGCACGUAGGCGGUGUCGUAAGUCGGAUGUGAAAGCCCUCGGCUCAACCGGGGAACCGCAUUCGAUUCUGCGAUGCUUGAGUGCCGGAGAGGGUGGCGGAAUUCCAGGUGUAGGAGUGAAAUCCGUAGAGAUCUGGAGGAACACCAGUGGCGAAGGCGGCCACCUGGCCGGCAACUGACGCUGGGGUGCGAAAGCGUGGGGAUCAAACA